UCCACUCAUCCAUUGGCACUACCGCG
Molecule: non-coding RNA, 26 nt
Filed under: Mus musculus (house mouse)
Lineage: Eukaryota; Metazoa; Chordata; Mammalia; Rodentia; Muridae
Also listed under: 1 other name
Source: RNAcentral